This is a long non-coding RNA of Mauremys mutica (yellowpond turtle), 6002 nucleotides long. RefSeq lists it as uncharacterized. The record is from RefSeq and is a predicted model, not a curated record. The transcript is spliced from 4 exons. Lineage: Eukaryota; Metazoa; Chordata; Testudines; Geoemydidae.
GCAUAUGUAGCAUAAAACAUAUUCUAAUUAUGUCAUAUAUACAUUCAUAAGCAUAUUUCCAUAAAGCCUUAUGGGGUACACCAUCACAGUAUUAAAACCAGAUGAGCUUUCAUUGGCUACAUUAAUUACCUGUGUGGUUAGAUCAACCAAUGACCUUAAAAGAGAGAGCAAGCCACAUGCUUUAGGCCUUGUGUGAUUUGCUGGGGUAGGAAUAGUUGCCUCUCUGCGCUAAAGUAGGCCCAGUAUGUUUAGAGGAGGUUUCACCUGCUAUGAAGCACCAGCUGUGAACAGGCAUACAGGACUAGGGGGAGCUCUGGUCUUGUCCAGGCUGGCAGCUCCUUUAAACAGGAAUGGGAAGAGAUGCUUUUCAGCUCCUGACUCCUGUGGCGAUUCAUAGGUUCUAAGGCCAGAAGGGACCACUGUCAUCAUCUAGUCUGACCUGCUGUAUAGCAUAGGCCAGAGAACUUCCCUGAUAUAAUUCCUAGAGCUGAUCUUAUGGAAUAACUUCCAAUCUUGAGUUAAACUUUGCCAGUGAUGGAGAAUCCACCACAACCCUUGGUAAAUUGUAUCAGCGGUUAAUUACCCUCCCUGUGAACAAUUUACACCUUAUUUCCAGUCUGAAUUUGUCUGGCUUCAACUUCCAGCCAUUGGAUCAUGUUUUGCCUCUGUCUGCUAGACAGACGAGCCCAUCAUUAAACCCCACGUAGAUACCUACUGACCAUAAUCAAGUCACCCCAAACCUUCUCUGGGUUAAGCUAAGUAGAUCGAGCUCCUGGAGUCUCUCACUAGAAGGCAGGGUUUCUAAUCCUUUCAUCAUUCUUGCAGCUCUGUUCUGAACCCUCUCCAGUUUAAAUUUGAAGCGGUAUUUGUAGAACAAGGGAAGUAGCUGUAUAGGAGGAUACAACGGGAGUUCCAAUAUGAGCGUCCAGUCACCUUACUUCCACCUUUUAUAGGACACAGAUCUAUAACAGCAUCUCCGCCAACUGAAAAAGCAGGAGGGGAAAUUCGGAAACAGUCCCUAACUGCUGAGAAUAAUAUAGAUUUAGGCACAGUUCCAACUGGCAUGAACCUUACUAUGAAUAAUGACUCAGAGCCAUCCUCUGUAGCAUUGUCCAAAGGUUAUGUAUACGUAAGUCAGGAAUUCACAAAUCCCAAAUUAUUAAUACUAGAACUGGGGAACUCUGAAAACCAAAUAUACCCCAAGAAAAGGUCUUUCAAACCAAAGUACCCCAAAAACGUAUAACUCGAGGAGCUUGGUUUAUAAUGGGUCCAGAUUUAAAGUGUUUGUAAACUUAUUCCCUGAAGACUGGAUAAUUAACACUCAUUAUCCUAACUGUUCUAAAUGAAUUGCACAAUAUAAAACAUAUUGCGUCUGGGAUGUGACAAAAAGAGAAAUGGUUAAAAAAAAAAUACCAUACGGAAAUCACUAAACGCUGCAAUAAAAUUGAAAAACACGUGGAGCCUCUCUACCCAAAGGGGAAAAAUAAAAAAAGACUUUAAAGCAACUGAUGCAGUCAGCACACACUGGGGAACAAGGGAAAAUAAUAAAUCAAGAGAUGGGCUAUUCUGUGAUGAAGUUAAGUAACUUGUUGGAAAAAAGUAGUCUGAAUAUUGUUAAAGAAAUGAGGGAUAUUCGCUCAGAAUUUUCCUGGGGGAAAGUGUGUAGAAAAGCCCAGGAAAUCUUGGGAGAACAAUGAAAAGAAAUCUUGAGACAGAGCCAAAAAGGAACAUGGCCCCAGACUCUGAACUGGGCAUUAUGUUACUAUUCUUAUAUUAAUCAAGCAUUCCAAGAUCCCUGAAAGGUGCAAGUGCAUCCAUGUACCAUACACCAGGGCGCUCUUGUCCUUUCCGGGAUAGCCAAUGGAAAGGCACAGGAAGUGUAUCCGGUAAUAGAUGCCAGCGCCUGCGGAAAUAAAACCUGGCACUAUGAAAUAGUACCUGAAGAAAAUGAAUUAUGGUAAAUACCUGAAUUAGGAUGGAUACAAAUAAUAAAAGCCCAAUAAAAAAGGGGCACCUUGGUUAAAAAAGGAAAUUGAAAUUUAAAAUGAAAAGGAGGUAAACCCCCCAUAAAUGUACAGUGAAAAAAUGGUUGAUGGUGAUUAUAUAAAAUAAACCAAAAUAUUUGUUGGCAUCAAAAGGAAAAGAGUAAUGUAACAAUAAACAACCAAACUUGGUUCAUGGGCCAGGGGAUGUGGUGUACUCAUGGAAAUAUAACUUAUUUCCUGUAUGAACAACAUCAGUGGCACCCUCAGAUGACUAAAACCUUUAUGACUCACUCUAGAUUAAUGUCGCCAAAUUUAAGGGCAAUAGAGUGGAAUGAUACAGGUUGGAAUAUGAAGAUACAGACUAAUCAAGGCACACUAGACCAAAUAAAAAAGUCAACUAAACUAAUCAUAUCUGUCAAAGUUAUGCUUGCUCGAAAGUAUAAAAUUGUUAAAAAAGCCGUAGAAAAAAUAAGAUCUCAAAUGUGUGCUUGGUACAAUGUUGUAUGUCAAAUUACAACAUGGAAUGCGGCUGAAUGGGCAAUGUUGUUUUGGAUUUCUGGAACUGCUGUAUUAUUACCUGUAUGUUUCUGUUGUGGAUAUCAGCUGUGUAAGCAAUAUAAAAAAAACCAAGCUUUGUAAAAAACUUAUAAAAUUGAGUUGUUGAAUUAUGUUACUAAUAAUCGUAAAAUACUGCUUGAGGUUUUAUAGAAACCAGAAAAGGAGACACACGCUCUAAUAGUUAGCGUACAAAUUGUGGGUAAGAUUGAGGAGAUAUUACAAUGAUCUUUGGUAACUGAAUAUCGAAUGGGGGUCUUGUGGGAUGGUUCCAAAUGGGUGUGGCUGUGCUGAAGGAAUGGUGUGAGCAUCACUUGACAUGGCUUAAACAUGGCCGAAGGGCUGUAGAGAAUCCUGAGAGCAGGUUGCCUUUAAGCAGAAGCAAUUUGAUAAAGAACUGGCAAAGUCUGCGUGUACGAUCAAUAUUGAACCUAUUGGUCGGCAAAUAUGGGCCCAUGCAAAAGUAAAUAUCACAUGUAUAAAGUUCCAGCAUGGAGCACAGGUCGACCUGGUUGUAGUGAGACACCAUGCAAAGAGCCAGAGUGAAUGAUUGAUGAGUGAGUAAAGGUGGGCUGAUCUUGGUUGAGUAUCACCACCACUCCCAGACCCUUCUAAAACACUAAUUAGGUGAAAUUAGUAACCACAGUUCCACUGGGCAUGCUUUUAAGAAAUGUGACUCCUUUGAGGAAAAAAAGGAUAAAAAUCAAGCAAAGUAAAUUACUGUGGUUGGGAUUCCUUAAUUGACGCUUGAAGAAGCAAUGCUGCUAGACAGAGUAGCCAAAACUCUGCUCCGUGGGCCCGAGUAGGACUGUGAACCAGAGGGGUCUCAAGGCGCAAAGCCUUGCCUCAAUGGAAUCCAAGGCAGACCAGAGAGCUGAGAAGAACAGACCAGGAGGAAAGAAGCCGUCUAUAAUAGUGUAAUCUGCUCCACCGGAAGCCAGUAAAGAUCCAUUUCAGGGGUAGUUGCGCCCCCUGUUGUCAACAAUCAACAUCCACCUUGAACUGUGGACACCAGAACUGGACACAGGAUUCCAGCAGUGGUCACGCCAGUGCCAAAUGGAGAGACAUUGUGUUAUAUAGCUCCUGGCCGUAAGCCCCAGCCACUUCCAUCUGAGACUCUCCAGAAGAUUGCAGCUUUUAGCAGCCUUUGAUCCAGGCAUUGGUGAGCACUGCACCUGAUUAUUACAACUCAGAAUACUUUGCAAUGAAGCUCCACACCCUGAAAAAGCAAAAUGCAGCAGCAGUUCUGCUUAGCAACCCAGGAGGUGGCCUACAUCAUCCUCUGAAGUAUCUGGCACUGAUCCUCGUCAAGGUUAAGUGGACCCUUUCUGAUGUGCUACAGUGAUUCCUGUACUCUUUGCUUUGAUACAUGCUGCUCUCUUCCCCCAAAGGGCUCUGGGAAGGAUGCUGUUGCUUCAGCUGCAAAGGGACUUUCCAGUGUGCAGCCCUACCAACCACAAACAUUCACAAAGGAUGAGUCAGGGCUGCAUACCUCAUUGGUUGAAAGCUCCCGACAUUUUUUUUUUCCUCCAAAGAAUAGAUGUGAGACUUUUCUGGCUUCUGAGCCUUUUGGGGUCUGAUUUUCUAGCACUUCCCUGCAAUCACAAGAGGGAAAAAGGUUAUUUUUCAAAGAAAAGAGCAAGCAAGCAAGCUGAGAUUCUCACUUAAUCACCUGACUUCAGGAGCUCGGGCUUUAAGAAAAACACCAGAGAGUAUACAACUCUUGAUGACAACACCAGAGCUGGCAAUACUGAUAGCAUGGGGCUCUGGGACUGUAUGAGGCCCUAGAGACUGCAACUCCAGGGAAUCAUAUCAGGCCAGACAGAGAGAUUCUUGCAGCUUGUCUUUUGCUGACACUUCUGUGAUAACAAUCUCCGCGGCUUGCGGGUGGCUGCUGUGGUUCUAAGAACAGAGCUCGGCCACCUUCCUCCAACGCGCUCCACUGGCUUUACACUGACUUAUUUGCAUAGAGGGGAAAAUACAAGUGGUUUUGAAUGGAAGCUGUUCAAGAGACGCAAUGGUUACUUGAGACUGAUCCCCUCAAAUAUGAGGGUUGCCUGAAAUGGAGCCCGGGUCUGGCUCUGGCUUUUUGCAGAAUCAAAGCUGAGCAGAUGUGAACAAAGCCAAGCUCUCACCCAGCUCCUCUGCAACCAUGCUGCCAGUGUCAAGAGAGAAGCUGAGGACUCAAUGGGCCUGUGGGAUCCUGAACUGUCCACUCUGGGUCAGGGUGGAGGGAUGCUGAAGAAAUUUCCAGCCCAAUUCCUCAGAGCCUAAAGCUUUGGAUGAACUCUGGGAGCAGCCUUUGAAUUCUCCAGGGGCUUCUCCAAAGAGAUGGGACAUGCUGCAAGACUGGUGGACAGCCCCUUGUUCUGUGGUAUCAACAGGAUGGGAUGUAAUGGGGUCACCCCUAGGCUGUUUCAAAGUGCUCUCCCCAAGUCAGGUUCUGGGCCUCUUUAUCUGGGCACUAAAGUGGGCCCCUGCCUACUGGCUGGAUUUGCAUUUCACUCUCCAGGGGUUAAUCUGAUGCCUCCAGGGCUGAAAUAAAUACCGUGUGUGGUAUUUCAGCUCCUGGGCGGCAGCCAUGUUAUACUCCCAAACCAGGGGUGGUGGUAAAACUGGGGUUUUAUUAAAGUUAAUAUCCAACCUCCCUCCCCCAGUAAACACAGCUUCAAUAACCCCCACAAAUCAACUCAGUCUGACCACAACACACCACCCAGUCUACUGGGUCCCCUUCCCCGCUAUGAUCCCUUUGACUUUUCCUGCAGAACUCCAGCCUCUGAGAGCAGAAGGUGCAGAUAAAUAUCACCCAGAGAGUAAAUAUAACCCUGACGUUUUCUUAAGAGUGCUACGCUCCCCACUCAUAAAUGUAAUGUCCUCCCAGCAUUUCUGUUAAAAUAUAAAACAUUCAGUCUAUCCAUUUGACUUAUUAACAGUCGGCCCCAAGUUCCAGCUCUUAAGCAGUUGUCCUCAGCUGAGUUGCCAGUUCCAGUACUGAGGAUGGAAACUUCUGCAUCUCUCCAUAGUAAUUUCUAUGACAAGUGUAGAUCCACUGACCAACAGAAUAGCCAGUACCAAACAGUUUAAAUUCCCUAAAGAUACUCAUCUCUUACAAAAUAACAGCUCCUAUGUGAUCCCUGGCAUAACCAUGUCUCUCCAAGUCACUGGGCAUAUGGCAAGCUGUUUAGAAGAAAAAAUCUACUAAAUUAACAUCAUAAACUAUUCAGAACUAUAAAGCGUGUUAUUACAGCAACAUCCAUUCUUUAAAUCAAUAUCACUUCAUUUGCCGAUAUUCCAUCAGUCUUGGAUAGAAUGCAGAAAAAGGUGCAGGAAUAGGUAUUUCGCACGGCCUAUGACAAACAUGAGGAUAACCCCAGGGUUCAUUCACCAGUCCAGGAUUUGGAUUUAGACACAGAUAAGUACAUGUCUCUAAAUGUUCAUAUGUCAGUGUCUUCGCUCCUUAGU